RNAcentral lists this ribosomal RNA (512 nucleotides) under uncultured bacterium. RNAcentral's name for it is "partial 16S ribosomal RNA". It matches the Rfam family "Bacterial small subunit ribosomal RNA", at positions 28 to 507 of the family's 1533-position model. The record is from RNAcentral.
GAUGAACGCUGGCGGCGUGCCUAAUACAUGCAAGUCGAACGAAACUUCUUUAUCACCGAGUGCUUGCACUCACCGAUAAAGGGUUGAGUGGCGAACGGGUGAGUAACACGUGGGCAACCUGCCCAAAAGAGGGGGAUAACACUUGGAAACAGGUGCUAAUACCGCAUAACCAUAGUUACCGCAUGGUAACUAUGUAAAAGGUGGCUAUACUACCGCUUUUGGAUGGGCCCGCGGCGCAUUAGCUAGUUGGUAGGGUAAAGGCUUACCAAGGCAAUGAUGCGUAGCCGAAUUGAGAGGUUGAUCGGCCACAUUGGGACUGAGACACGGCCCAAACUCCUACGGGAGGCAGCAGUAGGGAAUCUGCCGCAAUGGGCGAAAGCCUGAUGGAGCAACGCCGCGUGGGUGAAGAAGGUCUUCGGAUCGUAAAACCCUGUUGUGAGUGAAGAAAGUGCGUGAGAGUAACUGUUCACGUUUCGACGGUAUCUAACCAGAAAGCCACGGCUAACUACGUG